ACAGAGUCAAUGUGGAGGCUAUAUACAGGGUAUUACGGUACAGAGUCAAUGUGGAGGCUAUAUACAGGGGUACCGGUACAGAGUCAAUGUGGAGACUAUAUACAGGGGGUACCAGUACAGAGUCAAUGUGGAGGCUAUAUACAGGGUGUACCGGUACAGAGUCAAUGUGGAGGCUAUAUACAGGGGGUACCGGUACAGAGUCAAUGUGGAGGCUAUAUACAGGGGGUACCGGUACAGAGUCAAUGUGGAGGCUAUAUACAGGGGGUACCGGUACAGAGUCAAUGUGGAGGCUAUAUACAGGGUAUUACGGUACAGAGUCAAUGUGGAGGCUAUAUACAGGGGGUACCGGUACAGAGUCAAUGUGGAGGCUAUAUACAGGGGGUACCGGUACAGAGUCAAUGUGGAGGCUAUAUACAGGGGGUACCGGUACAGAGUCAAUGUGGAGGCUAUAUACAGGGUGUACCAGUACAGAGUCAAUGUGGAGGCUAUAUACAGGGGGUACCAGUACAGAGUCAAUGUGGAGGCUAUAUACAGGGGGUACCGGUACAGAGUCAAUGUGGAGGCUAUAUACAGGGGGUACCGGUACAGAGUCAAUGUGGAGGCUAU
Oncorhynchus tshawytscha (Chinook salmon) is the source of this 606-nucleotide long non-coding RNA. Lineage: Eukaryota; Metazoa; Chordata; Actinopteri; Salmoniformes; Salmonidae. The record is from Ensembl.